GGAGGGGGCGAGCGUUAUUCGGAAUUAUUGGGCGUAAAGGGCGCGUAGGCGGCCUGGUCAGUCGAAGGUGAAAUCCCCGAGCUCAACUUGGGAACUGCCUUCGAUACUGCCGGGCUUGAGUCCGGGAGGGGAGAGUGGAAUUCCCAGUGUAGCGGUGAAAUGCGUAGAUAUUGGGAGGAACACCGGUGGCGAAGGCGGCUCUCUGGACCGGUUCUGACGCUGAGGCGCGAAAGCGUGGGUAGCAAACAGGAUUAGAUACCCUGGUAGUCCACGCCGUAAACGAUGGCGACUAGGUGUGGGGGGGGUUAGUCCCUUCCGUGCCGCAGCUAACGCAUUAAGUCGUCCGCCUGGGGAGUACGGCCGCAAGGUUG
RNAcentral lists this ribosomal RNA (371 nucleotides) under uncultured bacterium. RNAcentral's name for it is "bacterial SSU rRNA". It matches the Rfam family "Bacterial small subunit ribosomal RNA", at positions 527 to 896 of the family's 1533-position model. The record is from RNAcentral.